This 460-nucleotide ribosomal RNA is filed under the name uncultured bacterium. RNAcentral describes it as "partial 16S ribosomal RNA". It matches the Rfam family "Bacterial small subunit ribosomal RNA", at positions 338 to 795 of the family's 1533-position model. The record is from RNAcentral.
CCUACGGGAGGCAGCAGUGAGGAAUAUUGGUCAAUGGACGAGAGUCUGAACCAGCCAAGUAGCGUGAAGGAUGACUGCCCUAUGGGUUGUAAACUUCUUUUAUAUGGGAAUAAAACGUUCCACGUGUGGGAUUUUGUAUGUACCAUAUGAAUAAGGAUCGGCUAACUCCGUGCCAGCAGCCGCGGUAAUACGGAGGAUCCGAGCGUUAUCCGGAUUUAUUGGGUUUAAAGGGAGCGUAGGUGGAUUGUUAAGUCAGUUGUGAAAGUUUGCGGCUCAACCGUAAAAUUGCAGUUGAAACUGGCAGUCUUGAGUACAGUAGAGGUGGGCGGAAUUCGGGGUGUAGCGGUGAAAUGCUUAGAUAGCACGAAGAACUCCGAUUGCGAAGGCAGUUCACUGGACUGCAACUGACACUGAGGCUCGAAAGUGUGGGUAUCAAACAGGAUUAGAUACCCCUGUAGUC